AGGAUGAACGCUGGCGGCGUGCUUAACACAUGCAAGUCGAACGAUGAUCCCAGCUUGCUGGGGGAUUAGUGGCGAACGGGUGAGUAACACGUGAGUAACCUGCCCUUAACUCUGGGAUAAGCCUGGGAAACUGGGUCUAAUACCGGAUAUGACUCCUCAUCGCAUGGUGGGGGGUGGAAAGCUUUAUUGUGGUUUUGGAUGGACUCGCGGCCUAUCAGCUUGUUGGUGAGGUAAUGGCUCACCAAGGCGACGACGGGUAGCCGGCCUGAGAGGGUGACCGGCCACACUGGGACUGAGACACGGCCCAGACUCCUACGGGAGGCAGCAGUGGGGAAUAUUGCACAAUGGGCGCAAGCCUGAUGCAGCGACGCCGCGUGAGGGAUGACGGCCUUCGGGUUGUAAACCUCUUUCAGUAGGGAAGAAGCGAAAGUGACGGUACCUGCAGAAGAAGCGCCGGCUAACUACGUGCCAGCAGCCGCGGUAAUACGUAGGGCGCAAGCGUUAUCCGGAAUUAUUGGGCGUAAAGAGCUCGUAGGCGGUUUGUCGCGUCUGCCGUGAAAGUCCGGGGCUCAACUCCGGAUCUGCGGUGGGUACGGGCGGACUAGAGGUAUGCAGGGGAGAACGGAAUUCCUGGUGUAGCGGUGGAAUGCGCAGAUAUCAGGAGGAACACCGGUGGCGAAGGCGGUUCUCUGGGCAUUACCUGACGCUGAGGAGCGAAAGCAUGGGGAGCGAACAGGAUUAGAUACCCUGGUAGUCCAUGCCGUAAACGUUGGGCACUAGGUGUGGGGGACAUUCCACGUUUUCCGCGCC
Molecule: ribosomal RNA, 810 nt
Filed under: uncultured bacterium
Lineage: Bacteria
Description: bacterial SSU rRNA
Rfam family: Bacterial small subunit ribosomal RNA
Source: RNAcentral